Molecule: ribosomal RNA, 457 nt
Filed under: uncultured bacterium
Lineage: Bacteria
Description: partial 16S ribosomal RNA
Rfam family: Bacterial small subunit ribosomal RNA
Source: RNAcentral
GAUGAACGCUGGCGGCGCGCCUAAUACAUGCAAGUCGUACGGAAAGGCCCUUCGGGGUACUCGAGUGGCGGACGGCUGAGUAACGCGUGGGAACGUGCCCCAAAGUGAGGGAUAACGCACCGAAAGGUGUACUAAUACCGCAUAUGGUCUUCGGAUCAAAGCUUCGGCGCUUUGGGAGCGGCCCGCGUACGAUUAGAUAGUUGGUGAGGUAAUGGCUCACCAAGUCGACGAUCGUCAGCUGGUCUGAGAGGAUGAUCAGCCAGACUGGGACUGAGACACGGCCCAGACUCCUACGGGAGGCAGCAGUAAGGAAUCUUCCACAAUGGGGGCAACCCUGAUGGAGCAACGCCGCGUGCAGGAUGAAGGUUUUCGGAUCGUAAACUGCUUUUAUAAGUGAAGAAUAUGACGGUAACUUAUGAAUAAGGAUCGGCUAACUACGUGCCAGCCGCCGCGGUAA